RNAcentral lists this transfer RNA (68 nucleotides) under Grammoplites scaber (rough flathead). Its description in RNAcentral is "tRNA-Tyr". It matches the Rfam family "tRNA". From Rfam's summary of the family: Transfer RNA (tRNA) molecules are approximately 80 nucleotides in length. Lineage: Eukaryota; Metazoa; Chordata; Actinopteri; Perciformes; Platycephalidae. RNAcentral also lists the same sequence under 1 other name. The record is from RNAcentral.
GGUAGGAUGGCUGAGGUAAGCAGUGGGUUGUAGCCCCAUUUACAGAGGUUUAAUCCCUCUUCCUGCCA